This 1494-nucleotide ribosomal RNA is filed under the name Escherichia coli. RNAcentral describes it as "partial 23S ribosomal RNA". It matches the Rfam family "Bacterial large subunit ribosomal RNA", at positions 1474 to 2925 of the family's 2925-position model. Lineage: Bacteria; Pseudomonadati; Pseudomonadota; Gammaproteobacteria; Enterobacterales; Enterobacteriaceae. The record is from RNAcentral.
GGAGAAGGCUAUGUUGGCCGGGCGACGGUUGUCCCGGUUUAAGCGUGUAGGCUGGUUUUCCAGGCAAAUCCGGAAAAUCAAGGCUGAGGCGUGAUGACGAGGCACUACGGUGCUGAAGCAACAAAUGCCCUGCUUCCAGGAAAAGCCUCUAAGCAUCAGGUAACAUCAAAUCGUACCCCAAACCGACACAGGUGGUCAGGUAGAGAAUACCAAGGCGCUUGAGAGAACUCGGGUGAAGGAACUAGGCAAAAUGGUGCCGUAACUUCGGGAGAAGGCACGCUGAUAUGUAGGUGAAGUCCCUCGCGGAUGGAGCUGAAAUCAGUCGAAGAUACCAGCUGGCUGCAACUGUUUAUUAAAAACACAGCACUGUGCAAACACGAAAGUGGACGUAUACGGUGUGACGCCUGCCCGGUGCCGGAAGGUUAAUUGAUGGGGUCAGCGCAAGCGAAGCUCUUGAUCGAAGCCCCGGUAAACGGCGGCCGUAACUAUAACGGUCCUAAGGUAGCGAAAUUCCUUGUCGGGUAAGUUCCGACCUGCACGAAUGGCGUAAUGAUGGCCAGGCUGUCUCCACCCGAGACUCAGUGAAAUUGAACUCGCUGUGAAGAUGCAGUGUACCCGCGGCAAGACGGAAAGACCCCGUGAACCUUUACUAUAGCUUGACACUGAACAUUGAGCCUUGAUGUGUAGGAUAGGUGGGAGGCUUUGAAGUGUGGACGCCAGUCUGCAUGGAGCCGACCUUGAAAUACCACCCUUUAAUGUUUGAUGUUCUAACGUGGACCCGUGAUCCGGGUUGCGGACAGUGUCUGGUGGGUAGUUUGACUGGGGCGGUCUCCUCCUAAAGAGUAACGGAGGAGCACGAAGGUUGGCUAAUCCUGGUCGGACAUCAGGAGGUUAGUGCAAUGGCAUAAGCCAGCUUGACUGCGAGCGUGACGGCGCGAGCAGGUGCGAAAGCAGGUCAUAGUGAUCCGGUGGUUCUGAAUGGAAGGGCCAUCGCUCAACGGAUAAAAGGUACUCCGGGGAUAACAGGCUGAUACCGCCCAAGAGUUCAUAUCGACGGCGGUGUUUGGCACCUCGAUGUCGGCUCAUCACAUCCUGGGGCUGAAGUAGGUCCCAAGGGUAUGGCUGUUCGCCAUUUAAAGUGGUACGCGAGCUGGGUUUAGAACGUCGUGAGACAGUUCGGUCCCUAUCUGCCGUGGGCGCUGGAGAACUGAGGGGGGCUGCUCCUAGUACGAGAGGACCGGAGUGGACGCAUCACUGGUGUUCGGGUUGUCAUGCCAAUGGCACUGCCCGGUAGCUAAAUGCGGAAGAGAUAAGUGCUGAAAGCAUCUAAGCACGAAACUUGCCCCGAGAUGAGUUCUCCCUGACCCUUUAAGGGUCCUGAAGGAACGUUGAAGACGACGACGUUGAUAGGCCGGGUGUGUAAGCGCAGCGAUGCGUUGAGCUAACCGGUACUAAUGAACCGUGAGGCUUAACCUUACAACGCCGAAGGUGUUU